UCCCCACAGGGGCGGAUCUGGGAAACCAUGGGAGAUACCUGGAUGUGAUUGUAAAAUUCAGGAGGAAAAAAAAAAAGCAAUAAAAAACUUCACGCACUUUCCUCUUUGCCAAGGUUGGCUGACUCCCCAGAGGCCCCUCCGCCCAGUGAGUAAGAAUGAGAAGGAUUUCUUCUUUGUUCUAGGGAUAGUCAUAAGAGAUGCUGCUUCUUCCCCGAAGGGGUUUCAAGGAUAUUUUAGGAGUUGUGAUAGGUGAUGUCAUUAAAAAAAAAAAAGCAGUUUUUUUUGUUGUUGUUGUUUGUUUUCUAGUGCUGGGGAUUGAACCCAGGACCUGAGAAUGCUAAGUAUAUAUGUAUACACACUACCAUCUAAGCUAUGCCCCCACCCCACUUUUUAUUUAAGACAGUUUAGGGUUGGGGUGCCUGGGUUCGACUCCCAGCAUGACAAAGAAGUAAAUAAAAAACACCAAAAUCAAAUCAGCCCAUUUAUCAACAAGGAGAAAAAAAAUGAAUGUGUAUUUAUAGUCUCCCAGCCUGCUCUGAAAUUCAAAGCUGGAAAGCGUUUCAAAAAGCAGCAUAGACACGAGUAUGGAAAGUGAAAACACACGCGCCAGCACCGUCUAUGGUGGUUCAUUCAAUCUCCAUAACAACCUGCGGGGAAACUCUACUCAUUAGCCUUGUUUCUAGAACCUGAAGAGCUGAGUGGUUUUCCAGAGUUUGGGGCCUAACAAAACUCCAGGUCUCCAGGCCCUUGCUCCUGACUCAGGAUGUGCUGACUCCCUGGGGAACAGCCACUGUCCUGAACCUGACGUGCAGAUCACUCUCUUGGGGGGCAACUCAAAGGCUGGUGCCGUUUUCUGGCUGAUCUUCGUCAGAGCCCAUGGUAGAGCUAACAGCAGGAUUCUUCUCUUGAUAAAGAGAAACCCUCGGCCAGGCACAGUGGCACACUCUUGUAAUCCCAGCAGCUUGGGAGGCUGAAGCAGGA
Molecule: long non-coding RNA, 981 nt
Filed under: Marmota monax (woodchuck)
Lineage: Eukaryota; Metazoa; Chordata; Mammalia; Rodentia; Sciuridae
Source: RNAcentral